CAUGCAGUCGAACGCUGAAGCACCAGCUUGCUGGUGUGGAUGAGUGGCGAACGGGUGAGUAAUACGUGAGUAACCUGCCCUUGACUCUGGGAUAAGCCCGGGAAACUGGGUCUAAUACUGGAUGCUACAUGUCACCGCAUGGUGGUGUGUGGAAAGGGUUUACUGGUCUUGGAUGGGCUCACGGCCUAUCAGCUUGUUGGUGAGGUAAUGGCUCACCAAGGCGACGACGGGUAGCCGGCCUGAGAGGGUGACCGGCCACACUGGGACUGAGACACGGCCCAGACUCCUACGGGAGGCAGCAGUGGGGAAUAUUGCACAAUGGGCGAAAGCCUGAUGCAGCGACGCCGCGUGAGGGAUGACGGCCUUCGGGUUGUAAACCUCUUUCAGCAGGGAAGAAGCCACAAGUGACGGUACCUGCAGAAGAAGCGCCGGCUAACUACGUGCCAGCAGCCGCGGUAAUACGUAGGGCGCAAGCGUUGUCCGGAAUUAUUGGGCGUAAAGAGCUCGUAGGCGGUUUGUCGCGUCUGCUGUGAAAGCCCGGGGCUUAACCCCGGGUGUGCAGUGGGUACGGGCAGACUAGAGUGCAGUAGGGGAGACUGGAAUUCCUGGUGUAGCGGUGGAAUGCGCAGAUAUCAGGAGGAACACCGAUGGCGAAGGCAGGUCUCUGGGCUGUUACUGACGCUGAGGAGCGAAAGCAUGGGGAGCGAACAGGAUUAGAUACCCUGGUAGUCCAUGCCGUAAACGUUGGGCACUAGGUGUGGGGGACAUUCCACGUUUUCCGCGCCGUAGCUAACGCAUUAAGUG
This 804-nucleotide ribosomal RNA is filed under the name actinobacterium CR123a. RNAcentral describes it as "bacterial SSU rRNA". It matches the Rfam family "Bacterial small subunit ribosomal RNA", at positions 54 to 866 of the family's 1533-position model. The record is from RNAcentral. Lineage: Bacteria; Bacillati; Actinomycetota; Actinomycetes.